UCCUCUCUUCCAGCCCUCAGAGAUGGAGACAGACACACUCCUGCUAUGGGUGCUGCUUCUCUGGGUUCCAGGCUCCACUGGUGACAUUGUGCUGACCCAAUCUCCAGCUUCUUUGCCUGUGUCUCAAGGGCAGAGGGCCACCAUCUCCUGCAAGGCCAGCCAGAGUGUCGAUUAUAAUGGAAUUAGUUAUAUGGACUGGUUCCAACAGAAACCAGAACAGCCACCCAAACUCCUCAUCAAUCGUGCAUCCAACCUAGAAUCUGGGGUCCCUGCCAGGUUCAGUGGCAGUGGGUCUGGGACAGACUUCACCCUCAACAUCCAUCCUCUGAAGGAGGAUGAUGCUGCAACCUAUUACUGUCAGCAAAGUAAUAAGGAUCCUCCCACAGAGCUCCAGGGCUGA
This is a non-coding RNA of Mus caroli (Ryukyu mouse), 400 nucleotides long. Lineage: Eukaryota; Metazoa; Chordata; Mammalia; Rodentia; Muridae. The record is from the annotation of a RefSeq genome assembly.